GUCCUUUGCGCGGCACCUGGCGACAAAAUGGCUGCCCGAGGGAGACGGGCGGAGCCUCAGGGCCGGGAGGCUCCGGGCCCCGCGGGCGGUGGCGGUGGCGGGAGCCGUUGGGCUGAGUCGGGAUCGGGGACGUCGCCCGAGAGCGGGGACGAGGAGGUGUCGGGCGCGGGUUCGAGCCCGGUGUCGGGCGGCGUGAACUUGUUCGCCAACGACGGCAGCUUCCUGGAGCUGUUCAAGCGGAAGAUGGAGGAGGAGCAGCGGCAGCGGCAGGAGGAGCCGCCCCCGGGUCCGCAGCGACCCGACCAGUCGGCCGCCGCCGCUGGCCCCGGGGAUCCGAAGAGGAAGGGCGGUCCGGGCUCCACACUUAGCUUCGUCGGCCGGCUGGCGGAGCUGGGCGCGGCGUCAGGACGGGCCACCAGGCCGGGCUAGGAAGGUGUAGUGGGCCUCAGCGCCGCCAAGGGCGGUCCCGGCUCCUGUAACCGUUGCAGUCUUCUGUCCCUUCACCCAGGUGGGCAAACGCAGAGGCGGGAACAAACUAGCCCUCAAGACGGGAAUAGUAGCCAAGAAGCAGAAGACGGAGGAUGAGGUAUUAACAAGUAAAGGUGACGCGUGGGCCAAGUACAUGGCAGAAGUGAAAAAGUACAAAGCUCACCAGUGCGGUGACGAUGAUAAAACUCGGCCCCUGGUGAAAUGACGCCCCUCCCCCACCUGCCCAUGGCCUGGGACUCUCUGCGAUGUACAUAACUAUUUAAUGCAGCGGCAGCGGCGACAGCCUUCCCUGAGAGGACUUAAAAGCAGAAGGAAACCGAGAUGCUUCCCGCAGCCGUGGACGAUUCUCCAGGACUCUUUUUUUACCUUGAGCACUUGCCUCGUGAGACUUCAUAGAACAGUGGUUUACUGUCCCCCCCUUCUCACCUCCUCAUUCUCUCUGGCUCUUUCUGUCUUCCUCUUCUCACCCUCCUCCCUCCCCUUAGCCAUCACUUCUGGGAAGUAAAGAACUUGACUUAGUGCCGGA
Molecule: RNA transcript, 1015 nt
Organism: Homo sapiens (human)
Lineage: Eukaryota; Metazoa; Chordata; Mammalia; Primates; Hominidae
Gene: TRIR
Gene name: telomerase RNA component interacting RNase
Exons: 3
Source: RefSeq, marked validated